Long non-coding RNA from Hibiscus syriacus, 764 nucleotides. RefSeq lists it as uncharacterized. The transcript is spliced from 2 exons. The record is from RefSeq and is a predicted model, not a curated record. Lineage: Eukaryota; Viridiplantae; Streptophyta; Magnoliopsida; Malvales; Malvaceae.
GGAAUAAGAAGAAGAAGAAUAAAGAAAUAAUCAGGUUAGCAAGACGAGCAGUGAGUCCUCCAUCAUCGGAUCAAUAUUCUUGUUAAGCUACACCUUUGAUUGAAGAUCACCUGAAAGGGGUUGGAUUUUGUUAUGUUAUAUUUGUUCAAGAGUAUAAGUUGGUCAUGCUUUUGAUAAGUGCAUUGAUUGAAUGUUGAAGGCCAGAAACACAUACAUUUAAUUUUUCGUGCGGAGAAUGCACGAUUACCCUAGAAGAUAUGGUCUUCCAACUCGGGGUACCAACAAAUGGAAUGCCGAUGGUGAUGAGAAAUGAUUACAAUAAUGUGAAAACACUUUGCAAUGAGUUUCUUGGGUAGACAACAUAAGCCUAGAUUUAAAAGGGUGGCGUUUGAGGCUGUCGUGGUUGAAGAAUCAAUUUAAACUCCAAGAAAAUAUUACCCAAGAAGAAAUUUUAUAAGCAAUUCGAGCAUAUAUCUUGCAGUUGAUUGGGGGAGUUUUGAUGUCAGAUAAAUCUGGUAAUCUGGUUCACACGCAGUAUCUCCAGUUUUUUUUUAGAAAUUUUGAGAAUACGCGUCAAUAUAGUUGAGGAUCUGCGAUAUUGGCAUUCUUGUACCGUGAGAUGGGAAAGACAUCAGUAAUCGUCAAGAAUAUUAAUAUAGCAAAAAUCGAUGGAUAUCUGAUGUUGCUAAAAUCUUGGGCUUGACACAAACUUUCAUUUUUAACAUCGAUUAGUCGAACAACGAUUGACUUUCCUCUUGCCAGAA